CUAGCUAGAGAGGAAUCACCCCCUCCUUAAUGA
RNAcentral lists this transfer RNA (33 nucleotides) under Tadorna tadorna (common shelduck). RNAcentral describes it as "partial tRNA-Lys". The record is from RNAcentral. Lineage: Eukaryota; Metazoa; Chordata; Aves; Anseriformes; Anatidae.